Molecule: ribosomal RNA, 468 nt
Filed under: uncultured bacterium
Lineage: Bacteria
Description: partial 16S ribosomal RNA
Rfam family: Bacterial small subunit ribosomal RNA
Source: RNAcentral
GAUGAACGCUGACAGAAUGCUUAACACAUGCAAGUCAACUUGAAUUUGGGUUUUUUAACUUAGAUUUGGGUGGCGGACGGGUGAGUAACGCGUAAAGAACUUGCCUCACAGCUAGGGACAACAUUUGGAAACGAAUGCUAAUACCUGAUAUUAUGAUUAUAAGGCAUCUUAGAAUUAUGAAAGCUAUAUGCGCUGUGAGAGAGCUUUGCGUCCCAUUAGCUAGUUGGAGAGGUAACGGCUCACCAAGGCGAUGAUGGGUAGCCGGCCUGAGAGGGUGAACGGCCACAAGGGGACUGAGACACGGCACUUACUCCUACGGGAGGCAGCAGUGGGGAAUAUUGGACAAUGGACCAAGAGUCUGAUCCAGCAAUUCUGUGUGCACGAUGACGUUUUUCGGAAUGUAAAGUGCUUUCAGUUGGGAAGAAAAAAAUGACGGUACCAACAGAAGAAGUGACGGCUAAAUACGUG